GGCUCUGUAAAGUCUUUUGUUUUCCGGUGUAAUACGUGACGUUCGCUAGAGCAUGCGGCUGUUAACCGCAGGGUCGUCUGUUCGAGUCAGACAGGGGGAGCCA
RNAcentral lists this transfer RNA (103 nucleotides) under Eubacterium sp. Its description in RNAcentral is "tRNA-Asn". Lineage: Bacteria; Bacillati; Bacillota; Clostridia; Eubacteriales; Eubacteriaceae. The record is from RNAcentral.